Molecule: long non-coding RNA, 889 nt
Filed under: Homo sapiens (human)
Lineage: Eukaryota; Metazoa; Chordata; Mammalia; Primates; Hominidae
Description: HSALNT0211184
Source: RNAcentral
CUCUGUCUCAAAAACAACAACAAAAACAACAACAAACAAACAAAAAUCCAAAAUGGACAGAGACUUCUAAAUGAACCCCCAGUGAUAUCAGACAGAUGAAAAGACUGUUUUUAUGUCAUAACAUGUUUAACGUGGAUGGCAGACAGGGCAUGGAUAUGAAAAGUCUUUUCUAAGGAAUGAUCAGGAUGGGAUUGGCAUGCAAUGACAGAUAUUUGGGUUUUGACUAUUCUCAGCUUCCUCUCCUAAAAAAAUAGUCGACUGCACUCAUUUAAUUCUACAACAGGGAUGCUCUUUGAAAAUAAAUUAUUUUAGAGGAUAUAAAAAAGAUUAAACCUUGAAAUUUCUUUGUUUUGUGCUCAUACAUCCUUCUCCUUCUCUUUUUCUGACCCCAGUGUGUGGGAACAGUGUAACCUGAACAAGAACGUAGUGUCUAUAGGAUGAGUGACACUUGGAAGCAGAGGCAGAGUGCUACAUGGACACCUGACUGUACCAAAUGGUUAUUGUGUUUUCUCAAUCAGACGCCAAUUGCGGAAUACCAGCUGAUAUUCUACCCUCAACUCAUGCUAAAAGCUUUCUAGUCUUUCUCAAGGAAACCUGUCCAAAGGGAUAUGUGAUCCCAGGAAUUAUUAUUGUAUAAGUAAUACUUGGAUGUUUUUACUAAUAGUUCACACAUUUCACAGCCCUUUGGUGGAGAGCCUUUUUCGUUAAUGUUCUGUUCAAGAAUAAUUGCAUAGUAUUUAUAAUCCUCUCAGGGAUUAAGUAUAGAUGUAAUACACAACUCAAAGAUGCUUGUUGAUGUUCACUUUGUAAAAAUUCAUCAAGUUGUAUACUUGAUAUUUGUGCACUUUCUGUGUUACAUAUUUUUUAAUUAAAUACUUAUAGAAACUAU